UACGGAGGGUGCAAGCGUUAAUCGGAAUUACUGGGCGUAAAGCGUACGCAGGCGGUUUGUUAAGUCAGAUGUGAAACCCCCGGGCUCAACCCGGGAACUGCAGUCGAAACUGGCAGACUAGAGUCUUGUAGAGGGGGGUAGAAUUCCAGGUGUAGCGGUGAAAUGCGUAGAGAUCUGGAGGAAUACCGGUGGCGAAGGCGGCCCCCUGGACAAAGACUGACGCUCAGGUGCGAAAGCGUGGGGAGCAAACAGG
RNAcentral lists this ribosomal RNA (253 nucleotides) under uncultured bacterium. RNAcentral describes it as "partial 16S ribosomal RNA". It matches the Rfam family "Bacterial small subunit ribosomal RNA", at positions 524 to 776 of the family's 1533-position model. The record is from RNAcentral.